UGGGGAAUCUUGGACAAUGGGCGCAAGCCUGAUCCAGCAAUGCCGCGUGAGUGAAGAAGGCCUUCGGGUUGUAAAGCUCUUUCAGUCGAGAAGAAAAGGUUGUGACCAAUAAUCACAACUCAUGACGGUAUCGACAGAAGAAGCACCGGCUAACUACGUGCCAGCAGCCGCGGUAAUACGUAGGGUGCGAGCGUUAAUCGGAAUUACUGGGCGUAAAGGGUGCGCAGGCGGUUUUGUAAGUCAGAUGUGAAAUCCCCGGGCUUAACCUGGGAACUGCGUUUGAAACUACAAGACUAGAGUGUGGCAGAGGGGGGUGGAAUUCCAUGUGUAGCAGUGAAAUGCGUAGAGAUAUGGAAGAACAUCGAUGGCGAAGGCAGCCCCCUGGGUUAACACUGACGCUCAUGCACGAAAGCGUGGGGAGCAAACAGGAUUAGAUACCCUCGUAGUCCCUGAGCGGGCUGGCAAGGCGCAU
This 472-nucleotide ribosomal RNA is filed under the name uncultured bacterium. RNAcentral's name for it is "bacterial SSU rRNA". It matches the Rfam family "Bacterial small subunit ribosomal RNA", at positions 355 to 825 of the family's 1533-position model. The record is from RNAcentral.